RNAcentral lists this ribosomal RNA (497 nucleotides) under uncultured bacterium. Its description in RNAcentral is "partial 16S ribosomal RNA". It matches the Rfam family "Bacterial small subunit ribosomal RNA", at positions 28 to 507 of the family's 1533-position model. The record is from RNAcentral.
GAUGAACGCUGGCGGCGUGCCUAAUACAUGCAAGUCGAGCGAACGGACGAGAAGCUUGCUUCUCUGAUGUUAGCGGCGGACGGGUGAGUAACACGUGGAUAACCUACCUAUAAGACUGGGAUAACUUCGGGAAACCGGAGCUAAUACCGGAUAAUAUUUUGAACCGCAUGGUUCAAAAGUGAAAGACGGUCUUGCUGUCACUUAUAGAUGGAUCCGCGCUGCAUUAGCUAGUUGGUAAGGUAACGGCUUACCAAGGCAACGAUGCAUGGCCGACCUGAGAGGGUGAUCGGCCACACUGGAACUGAGACACGGUCCAGACUCCUACGGGAGGCAGCAGUAGGGAAUCUUCCGCAAAGGGCGAAAGCCUGACGGAGCAACGCCGCGUGAGUGAUGAAGGUCUUCGGAUCGUAAAACUCUGUUAUUAGGGAAGAACAUAUGUGUAAGUAACUAUGCACAUCUUGACGGUACCUAAUCAGAAAGCCACGGCUAACUACGUG